GACGAACGCUGGCGGCGUGCUUAACACAUGCAAGUCGAACGGAAAGGCCCUGCUUUUGUGGGGUGCUCGAGUGGCGAACGGGUGAGUAACACGUGAGUAACCUGCCCUUGACUUUGGGAUAACUUCAGGAAACUGGGGCUAAUACCGGCUAGGAGCUCCUGCUGCAUGGUGGGGGUUGGAAAGUUUCGGCGGUUGGGGAUGGACUCGCGGCUUAUCAGCUUGUUGGUGGGGUAGUGGCUUACCAAGGCUUUGACGGGUAGCCGGCCUGAGAGGGUGACCGGCCACAUGGGGACUGAGAUACGGCCCAGACUCCUACGGGAGGCAGCAGGGGGGAAUAUUGCACAAUGGGCGGAAGCCUGAUGCAGCAACGCCGCGUGCGGGAUGACGGCCUUCGGGUUGUAAACCGCUUUCGCCUGUGACGAAGCGUGAGUGACGGUAAUGGGUAAAGAAGCACCGGCUAACUACGUG
Molecule: ribosomal RNA, 468 nt
Filed under: uncultured bacterium
Lineage: Bacteria
Description: partial 16S ribosomal RNA
Rfam family: Bacterial small subunit ribosomal RNA
Source: RNAcentral